GACGAACGCUGGCGGCGUGCUUAACACAUGCAAGUCGAGCGGUAAGGCCUCUUCGUGGGUACACGAGCGGCUAACGGGCGAGUAACACGUGGGUGACCUGCCCUCAGCUCUGUGAUAAGCCUGGUAAACUGGGUCUAAUACCUGAUAUGACCUUUCCUCGCAUGGGGUUUGGUGGAAAGUUUUUUCGGCUGGGGAUGGGCCCGCGGCCUAUCAGCUUGUUGGUGGGGUGAUGGCCGACCAAGGCGACGACGGGUAGCCGGCCUGAGAGGGCGACCGGCCACACGGGGAGGGAGACACGGCACAGAUUCCUACGGGAGGAAGCAGUGGGGAAGAGUGCGCAAGGGGCGGAAGACUGAAGAAGCGACGCCGCGUGGGGGAGGACGGCCUUCGGGUUGUAAACUUCUUUCGACACCGACGAAUUUGGACGGUAGGGGUAGAAGAAGCACCGGCCAACUACGUG
This 460-nucleotide ribosomal RNA is filed under the name uncultured bacterium. Its description in RNAcentral is "partial 16S ribosomal RNA". It matches the Rfam family "Bacterial small subunit ribosomal RNA", at positions 28 to 507 of the family's 1533-position model. The record is from RNAcentral.